Molecule: long non-coding RNA, 635 nt
Filed under: Medicago truncatula (barrel medic)
Lineage: Eukaryota; Viridiplantae; Streptophyta; Magnoliopsida; Fabales; Fabaceae
Description: long non-coding RNA (MTRU_LNC001703)
Source: RNAcentral
AAGAAUCCAAGCAUACAUCAAAGCAAAAGCUCUCUCAAUUUUAGUCUGUCUUAGUGUUCUAAAAAUUGCUCUUUUGUUCUGAGCACUUUUUAGUUUUUGCUACAAAUAUUGUAUUUUGAUCCAAGUAAGAUUUUAUUUCUUAUUGGAUUGUAAAGCUUGUAGGUAACAAGUGUGUAAAAAGACAAAGGUAAAAUUACUCGGUUGCAGAAAAGAUCAGGAAGAUCUAGCAAGGGGUAAUUGUUACUCGUUCUCUUUGGUUGUAAAAGCAAAGGUAGAUUUACUCGUUGCAGGAAAGAUCAGUCGGAUCUAGAAAGAGUAAAGGUUACUCAUUUGUGAAAAAAGAAAAGAGGAGUUGUGGUUAACGUUACUUAACACAACUACCUAGUGGAUAAUCUCACACUUGUGUGGGGAGUGGAAGUAGCCGGCGUUUGGCGAACCACGAUAACUUUUGUGUGUCAUUUCUCUCUCCCUACUUACUUUUGAUUUAUUGUUCAAAAUCACACUUUACACUCAUUAUUGUCAUUAUCAACUAACAAACUAAUUGUGAUUGUUAAUUUAAAAGAAAAUUUUUAUUAGACAAAUUUUAAACAGGUCACAAUUCAAACCCCCCUUUCUUGUGAAAAUAUUUUACUACA